GCUGAGAGAUGAAACCAACUUUCUUGUAAUUGUCGGUAGAAGAGGGGUUCAAACCCUUGACUGUUGGGUGCAGAGCGUUUCCUUCUCCCUGCUGCCCCGCUGUGGUAUCUUUCUCCUCUCUGUGCUGCAGCAGGUGUUAUGUCUCAAACAAGGAGGUUAUGGAACAGCAUUCUGGAGCAUUCCCCACCAAAAUUACCCUGAUCAGGUGGUCUUCCGAGAAGGCAGUGAAUAGCCAAUUGGUGGAACGAAGCCGGAUGCCCAGUGGGAGCUCAGUAGCCUCCUCGGGGAGAGGGAGAAGCUGUGGAAACUCUUUGGAAGGCGGCUCUUGCAGAGCAAGACCUGUUUUUAGGAAGCUUUUGCAACUCUUCUAAACCCUCCAGAUAAUGGAAGGCUAUCAGAGGCUGUGGGCAUCUG
This is a long non-coding RNA of Zalophus californianus (California sea lion), 414 nucleotides long. RefSeq lists it as uncharacterized. The transcript is spliced from 4 exons. Lineage: Eukaryota; Metazoa; Chordata; Mammalia; Carnivora; Otariidae. The record is from RefSeq and is a predicted model, not a curated record.